UACGGUCAUAUCACAUUGAAACAUUCGUUCCCGUACGAUCAACCAAGUUAAGCAACGUCGAGCCUUGUUAGUACCUGGACGGUUGACCACAUGGAACCUGUAAUCCGGUGCUGUA
Acanthosepion pharaonis is the source of this 115-nucleotide non-coding RNA. The record is from the annotation of a GenBank genome assembly. Lineage: Eukaryota; Metazoa; Mollusca; Cephalopoda; Sepiida; Sepiidae.